CAGCUCGGGAGCAACUUUCCCGCAGGUUGGGUGCGCUGGCGGGGGCUGCCGCGAGCAAGGUGGAGAGCAGGCAGGCAGAACAAAGAGCCCCUGGCACAGGGGGUCCCGGCCGCGCUCGCCGAAGUUGGGACUCCCCUCCCCAAAGUGCUCCUGUGUGCAUCUGCAGGUUGGAGCAGUUGGUAGAAAAUGAAAAGAAAAAAUAUUAACUAAUCCAUGAAAAUCAUCCCGGAUUCUAAUUCUUCUUGGUGCCAUCUGUGUGUGCUGAAGAUUUCAGAAAAAAAGUUCCCAUCGUGUGAAAUAUGCCCUUUUAUACAGUUAGAAGUCCUUCCUUUUGAUCCAAUGGCUCAUUCAAACCUCAGGCUAUGGUGACAGCUUCCUUAGAAACGCACAAAAGUCAUGGGACUUUUCACAAAAGAGACUGAACAAGAGUCGGACUGGAAGGAAGACAGCACCUCGGGGAAGUAAUUAAAAAGGAAGAAGUUUCUCUUUGGAAGCAGGGCAGGGUUGCACCGGUGUGACGCUGCUGGCUGGGAAGGCAGGCAUUCUGGGUGGCACAAAGGCCAACCCCCAGUGACCCCCACACAGCCCCCGGGGGCCCUGGUCCACAGGCACCUGGUGCCUGCUUCCCGCCUCUGGCAAGAAGACUGCUCAGUGUGUCAGCCUCAAGGUUUAAAAAGCCGACAAGCUAAAACCAAACCGCCCGAAGAAACUCCAGCAAGCAGGAGUGGGCUGGCGAGGCGAUGACACAGUCUCAGCGAUCAAGAAUGACAAGUAGGUUUUAGGCUGGCAUGGCGCACAGCCAGAAUGAUCACACCCCUGCUAAUCCCUUCUCCUUGGUGGCAAGGGGAGAAAGGUGGGACGGUCUCCAUCAGCCCUACCUUGCUGCCCACCCAGAGACCUCGCACCUUGCUGUUUUCAAGGCACAGUCACACUGGGCUGGUUUGUUUCAGUCCCCUUGGAUGGGAGCACUUCCCACCUGCCUCUGGUGUCCUGUACCUGCUGUUUCUGCUUCCUCCCUUUCACCUGGCUUCCUCCUCCUCAGCCCUCAAGCUUCAGCUGAAACACCACUUCCUCCCGGCUUUCCCUAGCAGCCUCCCGCUGAGUAGAUGGAUGAGCCCACUAAUUGCACUCCCAAAUCACGCAACCACUCCCAUUUCACAACAGUCAGCGCACCAGAUUUCAGGUCCAUUCUGCCUGGUGAGCAGUGUGUCCCUGAUGUCCAGCACAACCAGGGCCUCUGGAAAUAGAACCGUCCUGCCUGAGGUCCCCUUCUGACCGCAGCUGUGCACCGAUGAAUGAGUAAACUUACACAAGCCAGGAGUUGCUGGCUUUUCAGUCACUCAAGCUGAAGAUGGGGAUUGGCGGAAGGGUUAUUAUAUAGAAAGCAGGAGUUUGCCCUCAAUGAGACAUUGUGUUUAUACAGGAAUUUCUUUUCCUUCUUAGGGCAUUUGCUAAAGCUCACUAUCUGGUUUCAAUAGUACUGGGCAAUACUCAACCUAAAGUCAUUUAUAUGCCUUCCCAACUCCCUUCUCUCCAUGUCUUUCCAGUGUGGGUAUGAAUCCUCCAAGCUGAACUGCUUCAUUUCUCCUGAAGAGUCUCCUCUACCUGGGGGAAUUAUGUAUUAUGUGUAUUAUGAAGGUACCUCAAAACAGUUCAUGGGAAAAUGGAAUUGAAGGAUGUUCAUUUUGGUGUAAAACCAAUUUAAAUCCAUGCACCAUAUUUUCAUAACAUACAUUUCCCCACGAAUUAUCUAAAAACACUUCAUAGAUCUUUAUAAAGCCAAAGAGAAGAAGAGGAAGAAGAAAAAGGAGGAGGAGGGGAGGGAAAAGGGGAGAGGAAGAGGAGGAGGAGGAGAAACCAUCUGUUAGAGGAAAAGCCAGCUAACUGGACCAAUAUGCACAAUACUCCUAGUAUUAUACUAUCUGUGAAUAGACCUGGAAACCUUUUCUGUCAAUCUAACUUCCCAAAUAAUUGCCAGAUCCCCUCUUCAUCUGGAACCACCUCAAGAAAUACAACAGACGUUGAAAGACGUGAGAGAUGGUCAGGGUAAUCUGAAGAUCACAGAAUUGCUGGGUAAAAAACUGGAACUAUAACACAGAUGACCACAGAUGUGAUACUAAUCCUGGCUCCUACCCUGUUUGCUAAAAAGGAGAUGUUUUAUUAUGUUAUGGAAUGUAUAUUAAAAUUCAUCACAGCUCACAGGGUGUGUGUUGUAGGGCAGCAGGUUAAACUACCACUUGGAAUGUCCAGGUCCCAUGUCCAAGUGCCUGGUUCAAAUCCCAGCUCCUCUGAAGUUCUGAUCCAGCUUCCUGUUAAUGCCCCUAGGAGGCAGCAGGUGCUGGCCUGAGUACUUAGGUUUGUACCACCAACAUGGGAGACCUGGAUGGACUUCCUGACUCUUGUCUUCAACCUGGCCCAGCCCUGGCUGUUAUGGGCAUCUGGGGAGUGAACUAGCAGACGGAAGAUUUGUGUGUGUGUGUGUGUGUCCCUUUCUCUGUCAUCCUGCUUUUCAAUACGUAAAUCAAUCCUUUUUUUUUUUUUUUUUUUUGACAGGCAGAGUUAGACAGUGAGAGAGAGACAGAGAGAAAGGUCUUCCUUCCGUUGGUUCACCCCCAAAAUGGCCGCUACGGCUGGCGCUACGCCGAUCUGAAGCCAGGAGCCAGGUGUUUCUCCUGGUCUCCCAUGUGGGUGCAGGGGCCCAAGCACUUGGGCCAUCCUCUAUUGCCUUCCCGGGCCACAGCAGAGAGCUGGCCUGGAAGAGGAGCAACAUGGACAGAACUGGAGCUCCAACUGGGACUAGAACACAGAGUACUGGUGCUGCAGGCAGAGGAUCAGCCUAGUGAGCCGCAGCGCCAGCCAAUCAAUCCUUUUUUUAAAAAAAUGAUCAAAGUUCUGAAAUGUCACCAAGCUUCUCCUUGAGCCAUAUUCCAUGAAUCUUUCAGAGCAACCCCAGAGAAACCGUGAGGAUACUAUGAAGCUCCCAAGACAUAAAAUGUGAGUUGAUUCAUUAAUAAAGUGCCACUCAAGAUGCUUAAGAUUUUGAAAAACUACAACAAAAGACAAAAGUCAAACAAAAGAAGCAGAGCUAUUGAUGGAUGGCUCAACUAUUUGAAUAUUUAAGGAUGGGUGAGUCUGUUGAAGGAACAUCAGAAGAUGACAAUCAUUUGUCGAGUUUUAGGGUGUGCAGAUGAUGUAUUCCAAUAUCAAUAUACUGGGAAACCUGUUUCCUUUGCAUUCUGCUUCUUUUGCUUAUCAGUUUGUAUUAUCUGUGUUGGUGCUUUCAAGAUGCCACACAUGAGUUGGUAUGUUAGAAAUGUUGACCUUGCUCAGUCCACCAACUCCAGUCGCUUUGCCCUGUGGUUUGGGAAAUGUGAACAUAGAUGGUCUUCAUUUGCCACAGCACCCAGGAACUGUGUUGAAAUGCUCUACAUCCAAAAGGCCUGUGGAUGAAUACGCACCCCCCUGAUCGGCCUAGAAUGUUCCUGUCUCCCUGGCUUAGCAAGAACUUAUGUGACAAAUGAGCCUGCCAUUAGCAAACUUGCCACAAGUAAUCACCACACUCCAAAUUUCCACAUUGGAAAUAAGAUUAUUUUAAAAAGAAAAAAAUGGAAAAAGAUGUGUGCCAGAUACUGACCAGAAGAUUCUCACCCAAAAAGCUUCAUAUUCCUGGACACAGAAGUCAACUACGAUUCCUAGCAUCUUAAAUAGAGGCGGAGGCAGGUGACUCGUUCUGGCCAAUGGAGUUUGGGCAGAAAUGAUGUUUUAUAACCUCUAAAGCUGACCCCUAAAACGGAUCAUUUGAUUCUUGUGCCUUUUCUUCCUCCCCUAUUUGCAUGGCAAUAUACUGAUUCCUUCAGAAAUGGCCAAGUCACAAAACCAGCCCCAGUCCCUGAGAGGCUGCUAUAUGGGCAAAAGCAUCUCGAAUUAGCAAGAAGUGAAUUUUCCUAUAAGAAUUCACUGAUAUUUAGAGUUAUUACAGGUAGCAUUAAUGGCUUCAAUUAGCAGUAUAUAAAAAUGAUGACAACAAAUUGUCCUUGAAACAUCUGCACAAUCUGGUCUUCUCUCUUUUGUUUGGGAGCAUCAGCCAUGAUUUUACUGCUAUAAAAGUGUCUGAUUACAACAGCCUGGCUCUGUCUACCUCUACCUUGGUGCACCUGAGCCUUAUAAACUUAUUAGAUCAUGAGGUACAUAAAGGCAAAAGCGCUCUAGAUGAGACUCCUGGGGAAGAAUUACCUUUGUAUUUGUACAUGAACACCUAUGAUUUUCAUUCUCGGAAUACUAUUCUAUGAAGUUUACUUAGCUCAGGUAAUAUUUAUCAUUAUUUAGUCUCUUAUCCACUUGAUAUUCCUAUUUUAAGUUCAAUACUUUAAACUAGUUUGCAUUUGAGCUGAUAUGUUGAUUUGUAUAUGUGCUCACCAUAAAAGCUCACAAAACCUUGAAACUAAAUUAUAUGCAUCAUAAAUGUAAUGCAUAGAAUUCUCAUAUAGUUGUCAGCAGUUGGUAUGGUUUUGAAAUUAAUGGUUUUUGUAUAUACUAAAAUAAGCAGUAUCAUUUGGUCCCAUAAAAUUUGCAUGUUGAUGCUGCAAAACUGAAUCUUUUUUUAACACAAGAAAUCUUAACACAUAUACAUAUAAGC
Non-coding RNA from Oryctolagus cuniculus (rabbit), 4636 nucleotides. The record is from RefSeq and is a predicted model, not a curated record. NCBI's taxonomy places the organism in Eukaryota, Metazoa, Chordata, Mammalia, Lagomorpha, Leporidae.